Molecule: unclassified non-coding RNA, 304 nt
Filed under: uncultured fungus
Lineage: Eukaryota; Fungi
Description: sequence contains ITS1
Rfam family: 5.8S ribosomal RNA (bases 1-105)
Source: RNAcentral
GAAAUGCGAUAAGUAGUGUGAAUUGUAGAAUUUAGUAAAUUAUCGAAUCUUUAAACGCAUAUUGCGCCCCUUAGUAUUCUAUAGGGCAUGCCUAUUCGAGCGUUAUUUGUAUCUUUAAGCUUUGCUUAGUGUUAGGUGUUUAUCCUACUCUAUGCGUAGACUCGCCUUAAAUCAAUUAGUAGCUAGUAAUCUAGUAUUAAGAGCGUAGCACAUUAUGCGCUCCUCGCUGUGUAUUACGGCGUCCAUUAAGCCUAUAUUUUUUGCUCUUAACCUUAGAUUAGGUAGGGAUACCCGCUAAACUUAA